This is a long non-coding RNA of Heterocephalus glaber (naked mole-rat), 679 nucleotides long. NCBI's taxonomy places the organism in Eukaryota, Metazoa, Chordata, Mammalia, Rodentia, Bathyergidae. The record is from Ensembl.
GAGGGGGCCGGCGCCAUCUUGGUCCCGCGGACUGUGACUUCUGGGGAGCGUGGGAGACGCCGAGAAUAAGUGUCUGGCUGUCUUGGACACGCAGCCGACUCCUCCCGGAGUUCGCUUCAUUUACUACGGAUGUUUCUGUUCUGAGUCUCGUUAGCCGGGGCUACCUGCAGGCUCAUGAUUGCCUGCGCGGGGAGCCAGGCUCCAAGCCUUAGUCAAACCUUGAGUGUAGCUUAAGCAUUUAAGAAAGGUGAAAUGUAGGAAGCCGGUGUAUAGUUAACAAGGCCUAUUUGGGUCUCAUUUCUGUAACGGACACAGCUUAAGGGAGGUGUAGUGGGUUCCUGCAAUGAAGAGCUGUGGGAACCAGCUCCCUGCUGGCUUGAUGGAAAGGUUGGGAAGCUGGGAUAACCAAGUAAACCAGAAUUGGCAAAAUAAGAGACGCAAAAUGGGCGAAAGAAAACUGUUCGGGAUCCGGAGAAAAGAGCGGUGGAAGAGAAAAGGAGACGGGAAAAUAAUCCAGCUGCGAUAUGGCUACUUCAUUUUCGCUGGAAACCCUUGUUAUUUACUGUUCUUUGAAAGGCAGAAAUACGUGUCUUGUAAAUUUUUGGAGUCUCUGAACAUCCACACGCCUGAAUCCUGUUUACACAGUUACUUUCAACAUUUUUUGGAGACCAAAAAGCAA